UACGGGGGGGGCAAGCGUUGUUCGGAAUUACUGGGCGUAAAGCGCGUGUAGGCGGUUGUUCAAGUUGGAUGUGAAAGCCUUGAGCUCAACUCAAGAAAUGCAUUCAGGACUGAAUGACUAGAGGACCGGAGAGGAUAGUGGAAUUCCCAGUGUAGUGGUGAAAUACGUAGAGAUUGGGAAGAACACCAGUGGCGAAGGCGGCUAUCUGGACGGUUUCUGACGCUAAGACGCGAAAGCGUGGGGAGCAAACAGG
RNAcentral lists this ribosomal RNA (253 nucleotides) under uncultured bacterium. Its description in RNAcentral is "partial 16S ribosomal RNA". It matches the Rfam family "Bacterial small subunit ribosomal RNA", at positions 524 to 776 of the family's 1533-position model. The record is from RNAcentral.